UCGUCAUACGUAGGGUUGUGUUUAGUUAGCUUUAUUAGGGGACGGUGCGGCCUCUCCUCACCCACCACGGAAGGGGGAGGGGAGAGAGAGAGUGAGGGCGCUGUGUUGGGUGUUAGGGGAAGACGAUGAUUUGGUUACCUCACCGCGCGGUCUCUAAUUCGCUUGGUGCAGGUCGGGAACCGGUUCUGCUUCAACUACUUUGCCGGAUGGCGCGUAAUGGACGGUUCCCUUCCCGGCGUUGAAUCGGAUCCCGCCUUGCAUCAACUGAAUCGGAGACCGCGGUGAAGCUUUGCAUGGAUCUCGGUUUUUCUGGCGAUUAUUGCUCAGAUCUCAGGUGUGGUGCAGACCUUACAAAUAUUUGCAGUCUAGUAAGUCCGCAAGAAUUAUUUAUGGAUGCCAUUUGAAGUAGCAUCUAACUCAAAUCUUAAGCUCCGUGAAAUUGGGGAACUCCUAUGCAUUUGAAGUGUGAAGAUUAAAUGUUCUGAUAAUCAACAUUGGAGUCAAUUUAUCAGUCCAACAAAUUUCAAGAUGAAAACUGCUGUUGUUUGGGUUUGAACUAGCCAUUAUUAUGUACGGAGGAAAUUAUGAUGUUCGCUUACCCGCUUCCUUGACUCCAUAAUUGCAUUUCGACUGCCCGUCGGUGGUAAGAUAGCAUUAGUUUCGGUCUUUAAGGGCCUACCUGAAAAGAAAGAUUCUUAUUGACCAAAAAGAAAAGAAAAGAUACUUGAUAAUUUUUAGGGGACUGUAGAAUUUUUUUUUUUCCUGUUCUAAAUCCAUAUCAUGUGGUUCCCGCUCGUACCCCGGAUUUUGGUUUUAGGGUGAGUUUUAUAGCACUUUUUGUUCUCAGGUUUUAAACAGAUAUUUUAACUUCAAUGGAUUUUCUCAUACGCAAUCAAUUAAGAAAUGUUAAGAUUCUACUUACAAGAAAUUGAGGAAUGAAAUAAAUUCUGAUCGAACAGGUAAAGCGCGGGUUUAAUGAAUAACAUGCGCGAUAUGCCUGAUGCAUCUAUAUUUGAUUGAGCGACACGUUGAUGUGAUGAUGGAAUGAGCUUUGAAGAUUCUUUUCAUUCGUCUUUUUUUUUUUUUUGGAAAGAUUCUUUUCAUUUGUUAAUAUUGAUUAGGUUGCUUGAUGCGCCCCCCCCCCUCUCGGCUCUUGGAGGCAAAAACAUUAAAAAAACAAAGAAAGGAAACAGAGAAAAGUAACCCGCAAAGGAGACGCAUUUCUUAGAUGGUUCACUCACCCAUUUUGAUCUCGGGUUUUUGGGGGGCUUAAUCUACUCAUUUGGAUUUUUACUCCAUGGGAUUUAGAUAAUUAUAUCUUUUUAAUUACGAGUUGGAAAAAUGUUUGUGAGAGAGAGAGAGAGAGAGAGAGAGAGAGAGAGCAUAUUUCAUACACAGGGUCUUUUCUCAUGUCCUUUUUCCUAUUAAAAGGUAUUCAAAUUGAUUGGCCAAAUUUAACUUGGAUCCUGGUUAUUACUCAAAUAAAUUACUUGGGAAUCAAAAUUGAGUUUUGCUUUCUCUGUUAAAAAUCGUUUAUAAUUUUAUGUUAUUUUGAAAUUUUAAGACAACAUUAAUCGCUAGAAUAAAUGAAGUAUAUUAAGAAAAAUGAAAAUAGACAAAGAAGGAAAGAGUGGUAUGGUUGAAUCUAAAAGAUUAAUCCAAUUAAAGUCCUAAAACAAUUAUUUGCAACUAAUGCACUCUUAUGUACAUGGUAGAGUAUAAAUUUCAACUAUCUCUCCACAACUUCCACUCCAACCCUGUCUUUUUCGGCUUUUCAAAACCCAGCGUAUUAGAAGGAAAACCCAGGAUUCACGUGGUUGGAAAUGGCCACAUAUUUCAUUUCAUUGUGCCUUUGUCAUGCCUUCCAGGUUAGGUUAGGUCCCGAAUUUUCUUAUUUUAAUAGAUUUGAUUUAACGUAUCAAGGGGAAUGGGGGGGAUCACAGCUAUGAUGUCAACUCAAAUAUUCACGAGUUUCUCGAUUAUCCACGUGGUUUGACGUUGGAUUUUCGGCCAAGAAACACGCCUUUGCCUCUUGCUUUUUGACAAUAAGCUCCUUACCACAUGGCUUAUGUUCUGCCUAAAAUUAUUAGGAUUAAAAGUCCAUUUUUUACUCCUAAAUCAUUUCGUGAGUAAUGAUUGUCAUAAGCCAUUUUAUAUAUCGGGGCAAUAUCAUUCUUUAAUUGUCAAGAUCAUUGCAAAUAUUGUUGUUUGACUAACGGUCGACGUUUAUUGUUAAUUUCAGAGUGAUUUGGAUUAAAAAACAUUUUUAUUUCAAAAGUGUUCAGAGAAGUAAUUUUGAUACCUUCGUGUUUUUUUUUUCAAUCAAAACAUUUGACAAAAUCUCUCGGAUAUCAUAUGGCUUGUUAAUUAAGUAUUUAUUUAUUUUUUUAAAAAAAAGUCUAUCAACUCAGGCUAACGAUUGGUUAGCAGUGUUGUCCCAAGUUAUAUAUACAUAUCUUGACUUGUUUACUUGGUAACCAUCAAUUAAAAAAAAUCUCUCAGCUUGCACUAAUGGUCAAUGUCAACACAUAAACAUAAUGCACAUGUUUUGGUCAAAAGAAAACAAGAUGAAGAAAUAGAUGUCAUUAGGCUUGUCAACUAAACAUUCAUCAAUAACAAAAUGCUCGCAAGCCCACGUAACUGUUAACUAUGUUGUCACGUUUUAUAUAUGCCUACCCUAUCUAGUUAUAGGAUCGACAUGAUUUGGGUUAUAUAGUUAUUUGAUUGGAUCUUAAUUAAGCAUUGUCAUGUUUAAUUAAAGGUCAUUCUUCAAAAAAAUAAAAAUAAAAAAAUUUGCACUCAUACGUGCUUUAACUUGAUGUCGUACUUCAGUGGUAGCACUUUCCCCGAGGACAAAAUUUCAAAGCAGACGUAAUUUGAUUAAAACGGACCAAAACCUAAACUUAUGACGGUGCUAUUAGUUGAUCAUGAGUAUAGAUUGACGAUAAAUUUUUUUAAUUGAUGAACAUUCAGUCUAAAUAUGAUGCAAACAUAUUGCAGCUAAAAAAAAAAAAGUGUCCGUUGCUCUAUAUUAUUGAACUUCAGGAUGUCAAAUACUUUUUCAUGAAUAAUUUACUAAAGGCAAUAAUCAUUUUUAACUCAAAAUCUAUUUGGAAUUAACUAUUAUCGUCAGUGUUGGGGCGUCAAACGAUAACCUUGCAAUAAUUGUGGCACCUGAAAAAUAAUAUUGCUCUGAUAGAUAAUUUGGGAUACUCGCGAAAUAGUCUGGGGAUGCAAAAAUAUCAAACAACCCAAAUUAUUACUACGUCCCUCGACAAUAACUGCUUUGGUUACAGAGUCCAGUAUUUGAAACUGAUCCUUUUUCUUUUGACUAAUGAUCAAGUUAACUGUAAGUAGUCAAUUGGGAUGAUGAUGGCAGGCAUGAACAAUGAGCGAUAUUAUUGAAUUUACUUACAUGUGAAAAUCCUAGUCGACUUCAACCACUGUUGAAGUUUGUCAGAUUUGCGGAAACGUGUUGAGCGCACUGGAAUGUCAAUCUGCAAAUGUGGAAAUUCCUUAUUGCUUACCAGCAACAGAGAAUUUCAUAAUUUAUGGGAAAGUGGGAAGGUAUUGAAACAAAAAGUUCUGACGAACAGUGCUAUAUAUGUUUUUCUAUGCCGGAAACACAUUGU
Prosopis cineraria is the source of this 3632-nucleotide long non-coding RNA. RefSeq lists it as uncharacterized. The transcript is spliced from 3 exons. NCBI's taxonomy places the organism in Eukaryota, Viridiplantae, Streptophyta, Magnoliopsida, Fabales, Fabaceae. The record is from RefSeq and is a predicted model, not a curated record.